RNAcentral lists this long non-coding RNA (2280 nucleotides) under Zea mays. RNAcentral describes it as "long non-coding RNA (ZMAY_LNC005754)". Lineage: Eukaryota; Viridiplantae; Streptophyta; Magnoliopsida; Poales; Poaceae. The record is from RNAcentral.
UCCAACUUUUUAUCAUCUUUAUUUUAUUUUGAGAAUCGAUGUGGCAAAUUGAUGUGUGGCAUUUUACUUGAGUGGACAUAAACACCGUUUAAGUAUUCCUUGAAUAGUGGGGAUUAUAGGAAACCUGUUAUCACAAAAGAUCAUUAGCUAGCCCACUAGCGUCUUCAUCCAAUAGUUGUACUCUAAUACCCUCUCGUGCGAAUACAAUGCCUUUAAUAUCAUAGAAACACUAUUUUUUGUUUCAAACAUGAUCUAUUGUUUUGAAUUCUUUAUAUUCCAACUUUUUAGCAACUGUAUGGUGGAAAAAGGUGUCUUACAACCUUAACCUAUGUUUGGACAGAUCUCUUACGCAAUUUGGCUAAAUUUCCUAUUGUCUUUAUUUUAUUUUUAGAAACGAUGUGGCGUAAUGAUGUGCGAUGUUUUACUUGAGUGGACAUAAACACCAUCUAGGUAUGCCUUUAAUACAGGGAUUAUAGGAAACCUAGUAUCACAAAAGGUCAUUAGCUAGCCCAAUAACGUCUUCAUCCACUAGUUGUUCUCGAAUACCCACUCGUCUGAAUACAAUGUCCUCAAUAUCAUAGAAACGUCAUUUGAGGUUUAAAAGGUGAUCUAUUGUUUUGUAUUCUUUAUAUUACAACCUUUUCACAACUUUAUGGUGGAAAAAAGGUGACAUACAACUAUAACCUAUGUUUGGACAGAUCUCUCACGCAAUUUUUCUAAAUUUCCCAUGGUCUUUAUUUUAUUUUAUUUUGAGAAACGAUGUGGCAUAAUGAUGUGCGGUGUUUUACUUGAGUGGACAUAAACACCACCUAGGUAUGCCUUGAAUAGAGAGGAUUAUAGGAAACCUGGUAUCACAAAAGGUCAGUAGCUAGCCCAACAAUGUCUUCAUCCACUAGUUGUACUCUAAUACCCUCUCAUGUGAAUACAAUGCCCUCAAUAUCAUGGAAACAUCAUUUGUGGUUUAAAAGAUGAUCUAUUUAUUAGAAUUCUUUAUAUUCCAACUUUUUAGCAAAUGUAUGGUGGAAAAAAGGUGCCUUACAACCAUAACCAAUGUUUGGACAAUUCACUCAUGCAAUUUGGCUAAAUUUUCCAUGGUCUUUAUUUUAUAUUGAGAAACAAUGUGGCAUAUUGAAUAGAGGGGAUUAUAGGAAACCUAGAGGGGAUUAUAGGAAACCUAGAAUCACAAAAGGUCAUUAGCUAGCCCAAUGACGUCUUCAUCCACUAGUUGUACUCUAAUACCCUCUCGUGCUAAUACAAUGCCCUUGACAUCAGGAAACGUCAUUUGUAGUUUAAAAGGUUAUCUAUUGUAUUGAAUUCUUUAUAUUCCAACUUUUUGCAUGGUUUAAAAAAUAUGCCUUACAAUGUUAACCUAUGUUUGGACAGGUCUCCCAUGCAAUUUGGCUAAAAUUUUCAUGGUCUUUAUUUUAUUUUGAGAAACGAUGUUGCAAAUUGAAGUGUGGUGUUUUACUUGAGUGGACUUAAACACCAUUUGAGUAUGCCUUGAAUAGAGGGAUUAUAGGAAACAUAUUAUCACAAAAGGUCAUUAGCUAGCCCACUAAUGUCUUCAUUCAGUGUGUUGUACUCUAAUACCCUCUCAUGCGAAUACAAUGCCCUCAUUACCAUAGAAACACUAUUUCUAGUUUCAAAGUUGGUCUAUUUUUUGAAUUCUUUAUAUUCCAACUUUUUAGCAACUGUAUGAUGGAAAAAGGUGCCUUACAACCUUAACCUAUGUUUGGACAGAUCUCUUAUGUAAUUUAGCUAAAUUUCCCAUGGUCUUUAUUUUAUUUUGAGAAACAAUGUGGCAUAAUAAAGUGUAGUGUUUUACUUGAGUGGACAUAAACACCAUCUAGGUAUGCCUUGAAUAGAGGGGAUUAUAGGAAACCUGGUAUCACAAAAGGUCAUUAGCUAGCCCAAUAACGUCUUCAUCCACUAGUUGUACUCUAAUACUCACUCAUGUGAAUACAAUGCAGUCAAUAUCAUAGAAACAUCAUUUGAGGUUUAAAAGCUGAUCUAUUGUUUUGAAUUCUUUAUAUUCCAACCGACCAUUUCCAGGUCAUAAAUCGUAGGUGUUAGCCUUCUGUAUUAUUGAAAAUGGUCAUUAAUGGCUAUUUUUGACAAUAAUGGGGUUUUGUGGCCAUUGAUCAUCGACCAGAGGCUCGUACACCUCACCCCACAUAUGUUUCCUUGCCAUAGAUCACAUUCUUAGAUUUCUAGUGGAGACCAUUUGUUGAUCAAAAAUCCGUAGGUGUUAGCCUUCGGUAUUAUUGAAAUAGUCGUCCA